Molecule: long non-coding RNA, 867 nt
Organism: Diospyros lotus (date-plum)
Lineage: Eukaryota; Viridiplantae; Streptophyta; Magnoliopsida; Ericales; Ebenaceae
Exons: 3
Source: RefSeq, a predicted model, not a curated record
AAAUAAAAGGAAAAUAAAUUCUGGAAAAUUGGGAAAAAUAGCUGAAAAUUCCAGAAAAAUGAGGGAAAGUUCUGGAAAUUAGUUUGGGGCUUGAAGAGCUUGUCGAAAGCUCAAAAAGAUGGAAUUUUGGGCGCGAGCGGCAGCUCGGGAGGCAACGUCGGCGUGGUCGUUUCUGAAUUUCGUUUCCGAAUUGUCCGAGGUUUGACCGGGGAGGCGGUGAUCCUAGAGGAACUAGAGGUUCGGGCUGGAAUUCGGGCCGAGGCAGAGAUGAGGCUUCGAGCCAGAUGAUGCAAGUCCGGAUGCAAGCAGGGAUGGCGCCGGGAGGCCGUUGUGGCAACUAGCUGAGUUGCCCGAGUUAUGUAUUUUUAAUAUUGCUUGUAUGUAGCCAGGGGGCGCGGUGUAUCUAUACCCUUGUGAGUAAAUGUCUAUGUUAUUGAGCUUAAAUGUAUUUAACUGUUGUAAUCAUCAUAGUGUGAUAGAUGAUUGUGAGAUUGCUUGUUGAAUGUGGCAUAGUUGGUAAAGUCAAGUUUCGGACCGAGUCAAGAUCAGCAAGGUAUGUUCUCAUAAAUCCCCAAUACUCAGCGAAGUGUUUGUAUGCUAGCUUUGUGCCUGGGUCACCUCUGGCUUGCUAUGGGGUAAGCUGAAGAGAGGUGAAGCUCACUCAGGUUUCAGGUCUUGGUCAGCUGGAUUUUUCUUAUUUGAGUUGGGACCGAUUCCUGAGUGGAGCGAAGGGAAGGACGAAGCCUAGUUCCCACCUAGGGCGUUUCCUGUUGAAACAUAGUCCAACCCUUCAGUUGUGGUUGUCGGGUGAGUAAUCUGGUCGAUUAUUUACCAGUGAUGCCCGUAAGUGGGAGCGGGUCGUUACAC